Molecule: ribosomal RNA, 500 nt
Filed under: uncultured bacterium
Lineage: Bacteria
Description: bacterial SSU rRNA
Rfam family: Bacterial small subunit ribosomal RNA
Source: RNAcentral
CAGCGGGGAGGAAGCUUGCUUUCUCCGCCGGCGACCGGCGCACGGGUGAGUAACACGUAUGCAACCUGCCCCUGUCAGGGGGACAACCCGCCGAAAGGCGGGCUAAACCCGCGUACAUGCCACCGGGGCAUCCCGGAGGCAGGAAAGGCUUCGGCCGGACAGGGAUGGGCAUGCGGCGCAUUAGGCAGUAGGCGGGGUAACGGCCCACCUAACCGACGAUGCGUAGGGGUUCUGAGAGGAAGGUCCCCCACACUGGUACUGAGACACGGACCAGACUCCUACGGGAGGCAGCAGUGAGGAAUAUUGGUCAAUGGUCGGGAGACUGAACCAGCCAAGCCGCGUGAGGGAGGAAGGUACAGAGUAUCGUAAACCUCUUUUGUCAGGGAACAAAGGCGGGGACGUGUCCCCGGAUGAGUGUACCUGAAGAAAAAGCAUCGGCUAACUCCGUGCCAGCAGCCGCGGUAAUACGGAGGAUGCGAGCGUUAUCCGGAUUUAUUGGG